AGAAAACCCCAACAAUCCCCUCUGAGCAAGCACUAGGCGACAGUGGAUAGGAAAAACUCCCUUUAAAGGAAGAAACCUAUGACAGAACCAGGCUCUAGAGGGGGCAGUCAACUGUCGGGACUGGUUGGGGGGUGAGUGUGAAAAAAGAGAGGGGUGGGGGAGGGGGGGAGGUGUUAGUAAUUAAAGGGGGGAGGGGGGGAUUAAGUUGGAACGGAGGUGGAGGAAGACAAGGUGACAUCGGCAGCGGUGAAAGGAGUGUCCCUCCUCCGGAAGAAGCGAAAGAAGCGUCUUUUCUUCUUCUCCAGUUGCUUUUCCACGAGCACUUUUUUCUCGAGGAUGAGGAUUUUCAACUCCUCGAUUGUUUCGGUAUUUUGCUGCUCCAGUUUAUUGCAUUUUUUCUCCACUUCUUCUAAUUCAGCUUGUUUGUCUUCCAACCUUUCUUUCAGUACUUUAGAUGUUGCCUCCUGUUUUUGCAGUUUUUCAUUUUCUCCUUCCAGCUCAGUUACUUUGUACUUCAUUUUGUUAUGAAGUUCUUGCAGCUCUUGAUAUUUCUGCAGUGUCUCAUCAAACUUUACCUGCAGCAUCCUGUCUUUUCCCUCCAUGUGCUGGAGUUGGCACUCCAUGUCUCCCUGCUUUCUGUCCAGCUGCUUUUUCUCUUGGAGGAUUUCUUUAUUUUGUCGCAGAGCUUCAUCAAGCUUUCCUUGCAAGCUUUCAUUUUGUUGCUCGAUGCUCUGAAGCUUGCAAUCCAUUUCCUUUUGUUUGAUCUCUUGUUCCCUUUUCUCUUGAAGAAGCUUCUCAUUUGCUUGCAGUGUGUCACCAAGCCUUUUUUUGUCAACACUGUAAAUUAGCUCCAUGUCUCUGAGAUCGCAGCGCAUCCCUCUCUUCUUCAUGCUCUCUUGUUUCUUUUCUUGGACGAGUUUUUUAUUUUGUCGCAGAGCUUCAUCAAGCUUUCCUUGCAAGCUUUCAUUGUGUUGCUUGAUGCUCUGAAGCUUGUGAUCCAUUUCUUUUUGUUUGAUCUCCUGUUGCCUUUUCUCUUGAAGAAGCUUUUCAUUUGCUUGCAGUGUGUCAUCAAGCCUUUUUUUCUCUACACUGUACAUUAACUCCAAGUCUCGGAGAUUGCGGUCCAUCCCUCUCUUCUUCGUGCCCUCUAGUUUCUUCUCUUGGAGGAGUUUUUUAUUUUGCUGCAGAGCUUGAUCAAGCUUUCCUUGAAGCUCCUGGUUCUUUUUGUCCAUGUCCCGGAGAUCCUGUUGUUUCUCCUCAAUAAUAGCUUCCUUUUCUAGAAGCUGGUAGGACAACUUUAUUAAUUCAGCCCUGUUUCUUUCAUUUUCCUCCAUCAAUAACUUAACCUUCUCUGUGUCCGUGAGCGUUUCAUCCUCCAUUUCUUCCAAGCACGUUUCCUCUAUUUCUACUUGGUCACCCCAAGGAAGAGAGGAGAGGUAAGGGUCUAGUGGCUGAUCCCAGGGCUGAUCCGUGAGCGUUUCAUCCUCCAUUUCUUCCAAGCACGUUUCCUCUAUUUCUACUUGGUCACCCCAAGGAAGGGAGGAGAGGUAAGGGUCUAGUGGCUGAUCCCAGGGAAGAGCGUAGGGGUCAACUUCUUGUCCCUUUGGAUCUUCUGUUUGAGACAUGUUGGGUCUGGAAACAGUGACUAUUGCAAAGGAUCCAAAUAUUUCAAAAGGCUUUUCUGGCGAACGGUUCAAUGCUGCAAAGAUCAGUGCAGCGAGAAACGGACUAAAAGUCAUUGCGUUUCACCGCUAUUUGUGGGUUUUAAGGAUCAAAGGACCAAAGGAUCAAAGUGGUGGUAAGAUUCUACAUGUGCGUGACGUCAUGAUUCUGUAAGGCAAUGAGGUUGUCACAUGAUAUUUUUGGAGGAGGGCAUUUUUCAACUUGGACAAAUUAUCAGUAAAGUUUCAAUCUCUGUUAUUUUCCCCAAAAAACGUGUUGUCGCAAUAAUGUUUUCUACGGUCAUUGGUGCCAACAGAUGGCGGCAGUUUAAAGUUGGGUGUUACUCUGCCCAGGCUGCUACCAUAGAAGAAGAAUGUAGACCAAUAGUACUUUAACGAUUUCCGCUGAUCGUUUCCGUGUAAAUCUUAGCAUUGCGUUACCCGUUAGGCUGAAAGUUUAGUUUCAUACUGCCAUAUUUUCGGAGUAACAAAAUAUUUAAACGGUCUCAGAUCAUGGACAGUGAAGUGUCUGACACUGACCAUGUACCAGUGCCUGAGAACACUGGUAUGGAGGGGGAGAACGCACCUCUUUACUGCAUUUGUCGGAAACCAGACAUCAACUGCUUCAUGAUCCUUUGCCAUGAUAAAUUGGUCAGUUUACAACCAGGAGCCGUACACCUUAACCUCAGAGGCCAGGACAUCCAGGGCAGUGUGAAACACACUUCUUUAAAUGGGAUGUAGUACUGUCUAUAGAGGGCCACCCCUCGCCAGACAACCAAGUGCUGUCCCUGUGCACGGCCAGUGUGAGAAGGACUCUCACUAAAGUCAACCCACACAAAGCUGCUGGACCAGACAAUAUACCCGGACGUGUGCUCGGAGCCUGUGCUGACCAGCUGACUGAUGUCCUAGCGGGCAUCUUUAACAUCUCCCUGAGUCAAGCUGUUGUGCCAAGUGCUUUAAAACCACCACCAUCUUACCUGUACCAAAGACAGCUACAGCCUCGCAGUUCGAAGACAAUGGACGAUGCGAUCUCAUUGGCACUCCACCUAGCCCUAUCACAACUGGAUCAAUGCAACGUCCACCUAAGAAUGCUGUUCACUGAUUUCAUCUUAGCAUUCAACACCAUCAUUGCCCAGCAGCUGAUCGGCAAGCUGGACCUGCUCAGACUUAACACCUCCACCUGCAACAGGAUCCUGGUCUUUCUUACUGAUGGACCCCAGACAGUACAGGUUGGAAAUAUAAGAUCCAACACCAUCACACUGAGCACAGCCCACCCCCCCGGGGAUGUGUGCUGAGCCCGCUACUCUUCACGCUGCUGACCCACGACUGCACCUCCAGCUCCAACAUGUGAUGAGUCAAUGUUGUGAUUGUUUGUGAUUUAUGUGGGACUCCUCCCACCAAAGGAUGGCUGUGGGUUUUUGUUUCUCUCUCUCUCUCAGGUGUGUACACCUAGGUGUGUCUUACUGGAGUCCAGCGCCUGCUGAGUCAUUGGGUGGAAUUCAUUCCUGUUCUGGGAUUGAAUAGUUGGUUGAUCACCCCAGUAGUGAUGACAACCCCCUGGUCCCCUCUCUCCUAGCCUCCACCACCCAACAAACAGUCUGUGCUUCCAAGUGUUACUUAGUGUCUUUGUCUGAAAACUUAAUAAAUUGUUAACUGUUGACUCAGUUUUCUCCUGUUUUUCACUUAGAAGGUCAGGUAAGUAAAUUGUCUUUUGGUUGGAUUUUUUUUUCUUU
This is a long non-coding RNA of Oreochromis aureus, 3394 nucleotides long. NCBI's taxonomy places the organism in Eukaryota, Metazoa, Chordata, Actinopteri, Cichliformes, Cichlidae. The record is from Ensembl.